AGUCAACAUGCCCAGGGGACGUGGAUAACCUCGGGAAACUGAGGAUAAACCGCGAUAGGUCAUCACUUCUGGAAUGGGUAAUGACUUAAAUCUAUAUGGCCCCUGGAUUGGACUGCGGCCGAUCAGGCUGUUGGUGAGGUAAUGGCCCACCAAACCUGUAACCGGUACGGGCUCUGAGAGGAGGAGCCCGGAGAUGGGCACUGAGACAAGGGCCCAGGCCCUAUGGGGCGCAGCAGGCGCGAAACCUCUGCAAUAGGCGAAAGCUUGACAGGGUUACUCUGAGUGAUUUCCGUUAAGGAGAUCUUUUGGCACCUCUAAAAAUGGUGCAGAAUAAGGGGUGGGCAAGUCUGGUGUCAGCCGCCGCGGUAAUACCAGCACCCCGAGUGGUCGGGACGUUUAUUGGGCCUAAAGCAUCCGUAGCCGGUUCUACAAGUCUUCCGUUAAAUCCACCUGCUUAACAGAUGGGCUGCGGAAGAUACUAUAGAGCUAGGAGGCGGGAGAGGCAAGCGGUACUCGAUGGGUAGGGGUAAAAUCCGUUGAUCCAUUGAAGACCACCAGUGGCGAAGGCGGCUUGCCAGAACGCGCUCGACGGUGAGGGAUGAAAGCUGGGGGAGCAAACCGGAUUAGAUACCCGGGUAGUCCCAGCUGUAAACGAUGCAGACUCGGUGAUGAGUUGGCUUAUUGCUAACUCAGUGCCGCAGGGAAGCCGUUAAGUUUGCCGCCUGGGGAGUACGGUCGCAAGACUGAAACUUAA
RNAcentral lists this ribosomal RNA (754 nucleotides) under uncultured archaeon. Its description in RNAcentral is "bacterial SSU rRNA". It matches the Rfam family "Archaeal small subunit ribosomal RNA", at positions 102 to 859 of the family's 1478-position model. The record is from RNAcentral.